GUCCCGGCGUCUCGGCCUCCCCUUCCCAUUGGCUGCCUCGCCCCUGUUUGCGACCCGAGAAGUGUCCGGGUCAGUCGCUCCGGGAGCGCUGACUUCUCAUUGGCCGCCCCUGGGAGCCCGCCCCACGUGGGAGCCGAGUUCCCGGCCCCGCUCCAAACAAACCCCCGUCCCGCAAAGCGGGAAGGAAAGUCCGGCCUGGAGUCGCCGGAGCCGGAGCGGCUGCAGCCUGUCAAGGCCGCCACCUGCUGCCUGCGGUUUGUCUCCCGGCCGCCCCCUCUCCGCGUGGCCCCCCCCAGCCUCUCUCAAGCCGAGGAGUUGCCGCCAAGCCCCGCGCAAGGACGUCAGGAGCCCUGGCUGCCCUGGCAUCCCGGGGGGCUUUGGCUGGGAAGGAUUUGUCCCCCGGGGACGGGUGCCAGCUUGAGCUAAAAGGAGCAACUUCACUGGCUGGUAGCAGUAGUAGGGUGUUACCCUGGAGGGCAGGAAGCAGCGGAGAGACACAUGGAAAACAUACUUUGCUGGUGUUGCACAGGAACUCUGAAAAUCAGCGCGCUCUCCUUUUAUUGAGGUGCCUUUAGGUUUGAAAACGCUGGCCUCCAACGCUUUGUGCCUCAGUUUCUCCAUCCCCAAAUGAGGCGAUCUUCCCUCUCUCGCAGAGGGCGAGACAAGCACUUUGCGACCCUCGUCAGGAAAUUGCUAAGGAAGGGCCAGCUCCAGUCCUGUUGAGAUGUGGUAAAGUGACCAAGAAUGUCUGUUGCUAAUUGAUAUUUAGCACACCAGGGCCGUACUGAAAUAGCAGAUUGGAAUGCUGAAAUCUCCGAUUGGGACUGAAAAAUAAAUCCAGUGCAUCCAAAUUCCAGAUGCAGCCUUGCAGGAUAUGAGCACCAAUGAACCUGAUCUCCUCUUGGAAUCUAGCAAGACUUUCCUCUUUCUCAGCACUCCAAGAGCUGCAGCAACGACGACAAAACACAUUUAUGAGAACGCUUUGUCGAGGAAGUGUUGCUCUUUGGACUUCAGGUGUAGUAAUGAUAUUUGAACUCACAUGUGUACUGUAAUGCCUCUCAACUGAGGCUUUCCAAGUACUUACCAAACAAUUCAGCCUCACAAUGUGGCUGUGAGGGAGGGGAGGUAUUAUUACACCUGGCAUUUCAUAGAUGUGUAAAAUGAGGUAGGGGUUAAAUAACUUGUUCAGCAUCCCCAUGUGAGUCAGUGGCAGCUGCUGGGGACACACUCCAGGAAUCCUGGCACCCAGUUUUCUACUCUCACUGCAGCUGCCAGUGCUGAGAGGUUCCAUUUGAACGUCCUCAGCACAAUUCCAUUUGUCCUUCACUGUGUCUUUGAACCAUGCCUAGAUCUCUCGAUCUGAAGGUGCCCAGUGUGCACUGUCACGCUCGGCGGAAGGCCCACUGUCUAAUGUCAUGGGUAGCGUAAGAAAGGGGCACGGGAUCAAAUGCUGAGAGCACAGACAGGUGAGUCAAGAGAUCUAGAUUCCACUCCUGGUUCUUCCUGAGAUUUGGACAAGUCACUUAGCCCAACCUUUUCAAGAGCAGCCCCUUUAUCUUUGGGGCCCCACUUGAGACACGCAACAAAACAAGUCUCACCUGCCCAUUCUCUCCAGGGGGAUCACAAUAUCCCCCUGCCUCCCACGGUGCUGGGAAGCUUGCUUUGUUAGUGUUGUACAGUGUCUAGGCAUCUGCAGAUGGGCGACACCAUUCCCGGUGAAAAGCUGGAGUGUUUACAAUGGUUCGGUGGAUGGGGAGGGGCCGCUGCAUACACACACUUGAAACUGAUUGCUAUGCCCAUACCUUGCACAUGCUGGGUUUUUGUUGUGGUUGUUGUUUUAAAAAAACAAUGUAGAAUUCUCAAAUGUACAAAUAGUUUUGAUGCAAUUGAUUAAAAACAAUCCAGCAGUCACCUCCUACAGUGCAUGAAACUAACGUUUUGUUUUUAAACAGGGUCUGGAGAUAUCUUGUCAGUACAUGACUCAAUUCAGCCCCUUGAGAACUUUUGUAAGAGCAAACCUCUCUCCUGCAGUCUAGGGAAGGUCUGAAUUGAGUGGGAACGUAUGGAGGGUUUGAAUCUUCUCGGGGGGCAUUGCAUGGCAAGCCAAUGUAAGCCUACAGGGUUGUCUGGCAAGAGCGAGGCUUUAAUGGGAGAAGUAUCCACUGGAAGGCCCACAGUAUGUACACAGGACAUGAGAUAAGCUGCUGUCCUUGUGAGGAACCUGUGUGUGGAGGCUCAGCCACAAGGUUAAGAUCUGUGGAGACGGAGAGGGCCCUCUGCAGUGUCACUGUGCUUCUAUUCCCAGGCUUUCCACCACGCUCAGGGCACAGAUCCCAAGCCUUAUUUUCUCGGUCGGUUAGCAAUGUUGUAUACACACCUGUUGGCUUUACCCGCCUCUCUGAGCCUGGAGUCAUGUGCUCCAUCGUUUUCAGUUUGGCUGCAGCACCAGGGUAAAAAAGGACGCUGUUCUCCACCCAGGAGCAUGCAUGCUCCCUGGCAGAUUGGACACUUUGGUGGGUAAGGUCCAGACUUUAUCAGGGAGGAGUAUCUUGGUGGACUUAAAUUCAAGCAAAAUAAGCUACUAUGGGGGGCUUUCAAAAGUGCAGUGGGUACAAAGGGCUCUGAGGAGCUAGGCUUAAAGCCAUCCUGAGCCCAACGAUGUUUAUGCUUCAAGAUGUUGGACUUCCCUUGAGCUGAAAAACUAAACUCCUUAAACUGAGAGGACCUUCUGCAGCCUCCUCAAACAACGGGAGAGAAAGGAAGAAAAGAAAACUGGCAGGAGCCAGGGCUACAAACACCCUGGUGCUCCCAAUUUUAAUGGCACACAGAGCUAGAUUUCCUUUGUUUCUGGCACAAAUUGAAUUAAUUGCAUUUGAAAUUCCCACACACUUAAGGAAAUGGCAGUAUAUUGUACACAGCAAGAAACUGCAUUCUGGAAGAAAGUGAGAUGCUGUCCCUAUUGUGUUAUAACAAUUCAAAACACCCCUCUGCUCCCCCCAGUAGUCAUCAGAGUUGGUUGCAAGAGGAGACACAUUCCUCAUGAACUUUUUGCUAAGGGCCAGGGUAAAUCCUGGGCUUGAAGUCAAAGGCAAAACUCCUGUUGACAUUAGCGGAGCGAGCAUCCAUCCCAGCUCCUAAUGUUGCUCAUAAGAGUACUCCCACUGAAGCCAUUGGGGCUAAUCAUGUGAUAACUGCUCACCAAUGGGAGUCAAGGGUUCACAUUCUGACCCUCAGGUUCCACCACCUUCGUUCCCAUUGGGUAGUAUGCGCUUCUGGUUGUUGUCCUGUUGAUUUCCACCUGAGCAAGGGCAGCAGAAUCCUCCCCUCCCUGCAAUGGCUUUCGCUAAAGAGGAGUAUAAAGCUCCCAUUUAAAAGGCGACCAGGCUGCAACACAGUGUAAUCCUUGCUCGAGCUGCUGCUUCCAGUAGGUUCAGAGCUCUAAAGGGAUGCACUGUAACAACUAAUGAAUCUCGUGUGAGCCAGGAAAGCUGGCUCCUUUCCAAAAUCCCAGUGGACCUCAGAGCUGCACCCAGAGAGAAGACGAGGGAUUCGCAUGGACACGCAUGCAAAAUGGAGACCGUGGAAUGAGCGAGUUCUCUUAAAGAGAGAGGAGAAAUCACCCCUCUCCUAGUAUUUCAGGGGACGGUGGGUUUCCUCGCCUUUAAAAAAAAUUCACCCCCUAGGGAAGUGCCAGAGGGGGAAGGGCAGGCGCAGAGGGAAUGUAAGUUUUAGGGUCUGAUUCUUAUUUAUCCUAAGGCCCCUUUACAUCACUGCGGCAUCACCAAGGGGCCUGAAAGCUGGAAUAAAUCCCAUUCAUACCUGUUUUAUGACCCUUUGAUGCUGCCAAAGAAAGGGGCCUUCUGCUCCACCUUUACUAAGCACCCACUAUUUCCUCAGUCCCUCGAGUGGUCCCUUCGGGCAGGUUUCGUUGGACAUCCACUCAUGAAGGUCAGUCAGCUGUGGCUGGGAUCUUGCUGAUAGAAAGACACAUUGGGCUGGGCCCUGGCAGUCUGUACACCAGCACAUCAGACAAGGUGAAGUCAGUGAGAGUUUGCUAGUGAAAGGACGGGGUUACUGGGGCCUUCUGUGGCGAUGCUAGCCACAAACGUUGCAUGGCAAAUUCCUCUUCAACUCUGAGACUAGCUCAGGGCUGAUUAACCACGCCAUAGCAACUUCCUCUGGCACUCCAGUUUGGGAGGCUGUUUUAUAUGCAUAUGAUGUCUUAAAUACAAUGAUCGAGGCAUGGAAGGUUUAAGAGGUGUGUUCAGCACACACAUAAUACCUGUAUUACCAGGCUUUUCAAUACACAUAUUUACUGGGCACCAGCUUUAUCAUAUAUGAAUCAUCGAGCAGAUUUAGCUUUUUUUAAUGCUAGCCUCCUAUUCAUAUAAUAGGUCAAAGUGACCUUGAAGAAGCCAUAAUGGUCUAUCAAAUUGCAUACAAGUUAGUGAUAGGAGAGUUUACACUCUUCUACUAAGGAUUUCCCCCCAUCCCAGUUUUGUCUUUUUAAAUUGCCAAGGAACAGAAAGAAAAAUUCAUACCUAUAAAAUUUAGCUAAAUACCUUGCAAAGAAAUUACACCUUUUAAAACAUGUGUUAAGUGAAAAUCUGUCACUUCUGCAUGCAUUUUAUUGGCAAUUAGAGUUACUUUAUUUAGGGCCAGAUCACGCCCUACAUGAGAAAAAGCUUACCGAGGGGACUAGGAAUCCUGUAAGGUUCUGCAAUUUAAUGCAUGAACAUUUUUCUGCAUUGACCUCAAUCUCUACUUUAAAUAAAAAAGGCUUUAGAAGCUUAACGCAAAGAUAUGUUUUGACUGAAUCACACUACCAAACAGCAGCAACUACAUGAUGGAGUACUGCUGGCAGUAACUGCAUCUCUCCACCCCGGCACCAUUUUUACCCGUGACGUGGCAUUAUUGCAGGUUUGUUCAACUGUGCAUAAUAAUGUAUAUCACGUGGGACACCAAAAGAAGACUUUAGUGGAUCAUGCUCUUCUGCUGACCUUUCUUGGUCUUAUGCUUCAAUGUCCAAAAUAUUUUAUUUGCAUCACAUAAGCUAUAUAUCUUUUAUAUAGAUAUAUUGCAACCUCAGGUCAUACACUAUUCACUAUGCUUUUAUAUUACAAUCCUUUUCCUCUACCAUUUGGCUGUCUCCAUUUUAAGCUCUUUAGGGUAAGGUUUGUCUACUAGGAAACAGAUAGCAUGGCCCAGUGGAUAGAAAACUAGACUGGGACUUAGGAGACCUGGUUCUAUUCUUGGUUCUGUCCCUGCUCUACUGGGUGACCUUGGGCAAGUCACUUCCCCUUCUGUGGGUAUGUCUACACAGCAGCAGCGCUUUAAUGUAGCUGUGUAGUUGCGGCUCCAGCGUUGGGAGAGAGCUCUCCCAGCACUGUAAUAAAACCACCUCUGUGAGCGGAAUAGCUACCAGCUGAGCAAAGGAAGUUUCAGUGCUGUAAGUGGCAGUGUAGACAAGGCCUGUGCCUCAAUUUCCCCAUCUGAGAAAUGGGGAUUUUGUGAGGUGCUAUUGAUGAAAAGCACAAUACAGGAGCUAGAUAUUAUAACUCUAGCUCCGUUUGUGACCCAAUGUAAUGGGACCAGGUUUUUGGUUGGGCAUUAUGGAACAGAAAUAAUAAUGAGUGGGGUGUAUAGAGAAACCAGUGCAUUAGCCUGAGGCAUAUCUAAUGGGAGGGAUCAUGGUGUACUGCUGACUUGGUGAGUUUAUCAUUCUGAUAAAAGAUAAUAAACAAUCUGUUAGCUUGCUGGUCCCCUCUGUUCAGGGUACACAGACUGUGGAUUUGUAGAGCUGUUUAGAUACAUUAUAUAGAUUCCCCAGCCCAAGUACUAACUGGGAGUAAAUUAUUUGGAAACCUUCUAUUUCACCAGAACAGCCAUUCAAGUAGCCUAAUACACACAUUAGAGUCUGUUUGCACUUAAAAGAAGUGGGAGGUAUUAAAUCAGCCUCUGGCCAGAUAGUCAUUGUAUAAACAAGAGCUGUUAACUCCUACUUGAUAGCAGCGAUAGCAAGAGAAAAGAAAACAACCCUCCAGUAUCAUGACCAGCCUGACACAGCAGGCUUUAGGUUGGGUGGGGGGAGCCAGAGUUCAUGACUGUCUGGGCUGGUGUUUGGUUAUGUUGCACCAGGGACUUUCCGUAUCAGUCUCUCGCUCUCUGUAAAGAUGAACUGGGGCGGCUGUUUUGCUGUCUGAAUUCAGAGAUGCUUUCAGAUCCAUUUAAUAGUCAUUUAAAAUACCCUUGACCAGGGACAGCACAGGGGAUUGGGACUGCAGAGCGUGGGUGGGGACUGCACUAGCUUUUCUCUUCAUGGGACCCAGGUUCGACUGACUGGCUCAAGGCAGAGAGGGAAAGAGUGUGGAGGCCUCAGUCUUGCCUGUGAAAGGCCUGCCAUGUGGCCAAAUGAUCUGGCUGUUCAGGAGAGGCCCUGGGCCACCGAGUCCUGAGUUAGCGACCUGGCAAUGCUACCUCCCACCUCCAGCAAAGCCUUUCUGGCCCUGGCCAGCACCGACGCCCCACCACUCCCAUGCACACGAGCGAGAUUCCUCGCCCGGGCUGGGUUUUAAAGUCAGGUGGCAUCUGCAUUAGUUGCAUGGGAACACAGAAGUUUUGAAACUGGGAUCCCAGAUUCUUUAAAACCUUUGUGGCUCACAGGGUAGGUGGCACGCACUGGUGCAACAGGUUUUAUGCUGGCGGAGUUACAUCAGAGUAGCAAAGCCAGCAGCAAAAUGGGCUUUUAGACCAGGAAGCACAAAGAAACACCAAUGAUCUGAUUCUUCUCUUGCUUGGUCCCUGUCUUUGGGGUUGGCUCUGUGGAAAGCAGGCGGAGGCUCAGCCAUGGUUAUCUGGGAUUCCAGAGCAGUAACAUCUCACACAUAAGUAUCCCACAGAGAGAGAAUUGAGCUCCCUUUCUUUGCCCACAGGCCUUCGGGCCAAGAUGAAAGGAUUACUGUGUCUUAGGAGACGAUGGGACAGGGCCUUGGCUACAAUCAAAUCACCCGGUGCAUUGUUUGGGGGGGGGGGGGGGGGGAUGCAUACAAAAGCUUGGCUUUACACUCCUCUAAUUCAGCUAUAGCUGUGUGCAGGGCUGGUUCCACUAAACCAACUUAGAGUAGUUGCAGGGCUGCUCUAGUGUGUGGCGGCUGCAAACAGCCCCCAGGGACCUGCAUUGCAGCCAGACCUCACCAUCAUGCAGGGACAUCCAGGCCAUGCGUCUUUCCCUGCUGUGUCAGCCUCACAAGGGGGAGUCACGUGAGAGCCCUGAAAUUGCCUUACACCCAAAAACUCCCCUGAAGCUGACUAUUGCUGGCGCUAAGCCCAGACUGUGCUGAUGGUUCAAAGCAGCUGCACCGGCUGGGUUAAUGCGUCCACUUCACAGAAUAUCGCCCGCUGGCAUCUGGCAUAGUGUGAUGGCCCCCCGCCAGCACUGCAUUGGGAAUCCAUGGGAAUAACAACAGAGUGGCUCAGGCUGCGUGGGGCAGCACGCUGCUGUUGUGAAGGUUGGUGCUCAGGCUAAAGAAUACUGGAUUGUUUCCCCACCUCCGGCCCCCAGACAGUAUUUCUAGCAACCAUAGUCUGCUCACUCCGGUGCAAGCCUGUGUGUUAAUGAAAUGUAUGAGUCAUGGAGAGCAUAAGAAACUGUUUUCAGUUGACUUCACUCACCACUUCCUUUCCUCAUAUUCAUCUCUCCCAGCAGCCCACUUAUCGUCCCUUUGGAGCCGUGCCCACCACGACUCUCCCCUGAUAGGGCCCUAUCUCCAACAGGCUCAAGUAUUCAGCACCACGAUUGCUUCUGAGCUUGCCCACUCCCUUAGUCAAGCACGCACAAAUUGUUCUCUGUGGCUAAUCAAAUGUCAAAACCACCUAACUCUGUGAUUUGGAGAGCUUUGAAACAGGAAGACAGUUACCACUGACACAGGUGAGCAGCACACAAUCGUCUGGGUUUAUGACUGCAGAACUGGUGUCAGUAAUAUUUCAGUAUUGGGUGCAGCUCCACAAGUAUUUGUCCGGUAACAACUAUUUUACAGUCUCCUUUGAAAGGAAUAAUGACUAUUCAAAUCCCUGGCAGCGAGGCCGUUGCUUUUCCACAGCCAAGGCUUCUCUCUCUUCUCAGGCAACCGUGGAUUCUCUCUCUGCUGCUGCUGAACACUAGAGGGCAUUGCUAAAUGUUUGGGGGGGAAAUCACAGACUGCUCCAAUAAUUCAAGGGUUAUUUUUUACUGUGCCACGAAUCAGUGACUUUAAAAGUAAACCUCUGAAGAUUCUGCACCCGGAAUGAGCUGCCGCCAAGUUGGCUCGAAGGAUUAGGAAAGCCCCUCUCAGGCAGCUAGCGUUAUUGGAAACUCCACCCGGCAAGGUUAAACAAAGGGGUGGAAUUCUCCGAGAAGUCUGGACGGCAAAACUGUAGUGUAGAGACAAGGCCUUAGCGUAGAGGAGGUAGUAUGAACUAACAGGUAGUUGCUGGAUAGUUUCUCAUCCUUCCCUCCUUAUGCAGGAAAAAACAUUUAAAGGCUUCAAUCCUGCAACUGAUCAUAUGGUGGAACUGAAAUCAGCAUAGCUAUUCAUAAGGGCGGAGAUCCAUCUGCAUGGGGCCUCAAUCUGUGUUUACAGAUCAGCUGUACCUUCUUCCGAUGGCUCUAACCUCACUUGCCAAAGAGAUCCACUCUCUCUCUCCCCUCCAUGCUAAAGCAACCCUAAGCAAUGUCUGCAAAGAAUCUCCAAUUAGUCAGGCCAGACAUCCACCAGACAGCUGACAUUUAUACAGAGAGGUCUAGUUGGGUAUUUUUAAUUGCCUUGCCCAGUCUAAAGUUUGGGGACUAACAAAUUCAAUGUGCAAACAAAUCAUUAACAUACAUUCUCUUCUCACCUCCAGCAUUAAGCAGGGAUUGCUUGGGCACAGGUGGAAGGGACACAGUCAAACUUAUUUAAAAAAUGUUAAUUUUCUGAUAGUUUUCCCCCUCUCACUGCACUCGCCACAGCAAACCCUGGGGCUUGUUACAGGGAGGAGGAUUUGGUCCUUGAAAGAGAGGCAUGGGCUGAGUACAGAACGGGGCAGGGAGCCCCGGAGGUCCAUCAUCUCUGGGACACCGGUCAACUGACUUCAAUACUCUGCCUUUGUUUUGAGGCUAGUACCUACCUUCCCACACAGGGGAACUGGAGGGGUCAUUAACAUUUACCAGAAAGCUCUCUGAAGAGCUGACGGGCCAACUGGCUGAAAUAAGAGAUACUGGGCUCACUUUUCAGAUGUGCCCAACAUCUGGCAGGUACAGCUAAGUGUAACCUACAAAGAAGCCAUGUGCAGCUCUCCAGUCCUGGGACCCUCUGACCAGUGAUGGACCAGCGGUGCUCUGGUCAUGCCAUCUGUCACCUAGGAGCACCCCCUGCUCCGAGGAUUCGGGAAGGGGACGGUUGGAGACAGUUUCAGCAGCUGCCUGACACCCAGUGAUCCCCUCAUGGUGGGAGAAUGUCCCUCUGGAGAGAUACAGCCCCAUUGUCCCAGGGGAGGGGCAAGACAGAACCCAAGCCAGGCCCAGGCCUGAGAGCAGUUUCCCACUUUGCUAGAUCGAGCAAACCUUAUACGAGAGCCAAUCCUGGGGAAUGUUUUUCCUCAGAAAACUGGAUUCUCAACAAAAUGACGUGUUUCAUGACCAGAGUCUGCUUUUGGUGAAAAACUGAGACAUUUCAUCAGAGAAAAGCUGGCAGAUGAAAAUGUUCAGGGUUUGGGUUUUUUUUAAAUGAAAAGUCAAAAUGUUCCCGCAGAGAACCCCUGCUUCUGAAACAGCUCUGCUGUAUCCGUUGGCACUCAGAAAUACCCCCUGAGGGCUCCCAUGGGGCCUGGGACAGGGGUGCUGCCCCUUGCUGGGGUCUGCUGAUGGAAUUCAGUUGUUCUUUGGCCAGUGACCCCCACCCCCAGGGUUUCUAGUUAUUAAUUCCUUGUUCUCCUUUCCAGGUACUGCAGGGCCAGGGGCCAAGCUGCCUGUGUUAGCUUUUAUUUAGUGGGUUCCUCAAGUGACAGGGCAGCAAGCCACUUCACUUCUGGCACCUGUGCUCCCAAUAACCACUUUAGGAAGAUCUCCCGCUUGCCAGGUAAGCUGAUGGGGUCUUCCUGCACCUAUCACAGUUACUAUUUUCAACCUCCAAGGAAAGCAUGCAAACCCAACCUCUAGUGCUCCAAGAGCCGCAGGACUGGCAGUCUGGCCUCCAGAGUCAUAAUUUAUCUCAGCUGAAAGCUAAACUCAAGCUGCUCGCUAAAGCUGCCAGGUGAAAAGAGAACUUUCCAUCGACUUGUGCCCUCUUCCCGGCACAUCUUAAAACCUCAGGAAGGAUACACAGUACAAAAGAUGUUUGCGGGCUUCUGUUGCUCAGUCUGUUGCUGGUUUUGAAAUCUAAGCAGUUCACUCUUCAAAAGCCUUGAAUCAAAUGUAAAGGGUGCGCAACACAUCAGUCUCCAGCAGGAAGUAUCGAUUCCUGUUGUCUGCUGUCAGCAAAGCCAUUUAUGAAGAUUCAAGCAAACCAUACAUAAUUUGCGACAAUAAACGGAUGGAGCCGCAACCCUCCCUAAAAUAUCUGUGGUCGGCGAGAUCAAAGCACCUGCCUGGCUUCAUUUGCUAAAUGAAAGGAGAAGCAUCAAUGUGUCAGUGUGAGGAGUCUAGUGUCUGUUUAGUGAGAAUUUGUCAGUUGGAAGGUUCAGUUCCUUCCUUAAGGUGAAGGAGAGAAUACAUGCCUAGCCGUUAGGGUCGAAGAGCUGAGUUCUAGGCUGAGCCUAUGUGAUCAUGAAAAUGUUACCUAGUCAUCCCUGCCUCAGUUUCUGUGUUGGUUUAAGACGGAAUGUUAGGAGCUCUUAGGAAAGGGAUAGAAAAUAAGACAGAAAAUAUCAUAAUUCCACUAUAUGCAUCCAGGGUGCGCCCACAGCUUGUGUUGUGCGUGCAGUUCUGGUCGCCCCAUCUCAGAAAGGAUAUAGUGGAACUGGAAGAGGUUCAGAGAAGGGCAACAAAGAUGCUCAAGGGACUGGAACAACUUCUAUACAAGGAGAGACUAAAAAGAUUAGAGCUGGUCAGUUUAAAAAAGACGAUUAAGGGGGGAUAUGAUAGAGGGUUAUAAAAUCAUGAGCGGUGUGGGGAAAGUGACUAGGGAAGGGUUAUUUACCCCUUCCCAAAAUACAAAAACCUGGGGGGAGUCACCCCACAAAAUUAAUGAGCAGUAGCUUGAAUACAAACAAGAGGAAAUGCUUAUUCACACAACACACAAUUAACAUAUGGAACUCAUUGCCAAGGGAUGUUGUGAUGGCCCAAAGUAAAACUGGGUUGGAAAAAGAAUUAGAUACAUU
Molecule: long non-coding RNA, 11334 nt
Organism: Dermochelys coriacea (leatherback sea turtle)
Lineage: Eukaryota; Metazoa; Chordata; Testudines; Dermochelyidae
Exons: 3
Source: RefSeq, a predicted model, not a curated record